This 854-nucleotide ribosomal RNA is filed under the name uncultured bacterium. Its description in RNAcentral is "bacterial SSU rRNA". It matches the Rfam family "Bacterial small subunit ribosomal RNA", at positions 59 to 894 of the family's 1533-position model. The record is from RNAcentral.
CUGACGUGCUUGCACAGAAGUGCCCUUUAAUUACCAGUGAGCGGCGGACGGGUGAGUAACACGUCUUUAACCUGCCCUGAAGCGGGGGAUAACAUUUGGAAACAGGUGCUAAUACCGCAUAACAACGAAAACCACAUGGUUUUCGUUUCAAAGAUGGUUUCGGCUAUCACUUCAGGAUGGGCCCGCGGUGCAUUAGCUUGUUGGUAGGGUAACGGCCUACCAAGGCAAUGAUGCAUAGCCGAGUUGAGAGACUGAUCGGCCACAAUGGAACUGAGACACGGUCCAUACUCCUACGGGAGGCAGCAGUAGGGAAUCUUCCACAAUGGGCGCAAGCCUGAUGGAGCGACACCGCGUGAGUGAAGAAGGUUUUCGGCUCGUAAAGCUCUGUUGUUGAAGAAGAACGUGCGUGAGAGUAACUGUUCACGCAGUGACGGUAUUCAACCAGAAAGUCACGGCUAACUACGUGCCAGCAGCCGCGGUAAUACGUAGGUGGCAAGCGUUAUCCGGAUUUAUUGGGCGUAAAGCGAGCGCAGGCGGUUGCUUAAGUCUGAUGUGAAAGCCUUCGGCUUAACCGAAGAAGUGCAUCGGAAACUGAGCGACUUGAGUGCAGAAGAGGACAGUGGAACUCCAUGUGUAGCGGUGGAAUGCGUAGAUAUAUGGAAGAACACCAGUGGCGAAGGCGGCUGUCUGGUCUGCAACUGACGCUGAGGCUCGAAAGCAUGGGUAGCGAACAGGAUUAGAUACCCUGGUAGUCCAUGCCGUAAACGAUGAGUGCUAGGUGUUGGAGGGUUUCCGCCCUUCAGUGCCGCAGCUAACGCAUUAAGCACUCCGCCUGGGGAGUACGACCGCAAGGU